RNAcentral lists this small RNA (1187 nucleotides) under uncultured Propionivibrio sp. RNAcentral's name for it is "bacterial SSU rRNA". The stretch from base 1 to 468 matches the Rfam family "Bacterial small subunit ribosomal RNA", at positions 1064 to 1533 of the family's 1533-position model. The record is from RNAcentral. Lineage: Bacteria; Pseudomonadati; Pseudomonadota; Betaproteobacteria; Rhodocyclales; Rhodocyclaceae.
GUCGUGAGAUGUUGGGUUAAGUCCCGCAACGAGCGCAACCCUUGUCGUUAAUUGCCAUCAUUUAGUUGGGCACUUUAACGAGACUGCCGGUGACAAACCGGAGGAAGGUGGGGAUGACGUCAAGUCCUCAUGGCCCUUAUGGGUAGGGCUUCACACGUAAUACAAUGGCCGGUACAGAGGGCUGCCAACCCGCGAGGGGGAGCUAAUCUCAGAAAGCCGGUCGUAGUCCGGAUUGUUCUCUGCAACUCGAGAGCAUGAAGUUGGAAUCGCUAGUAAUCGCGGAUCAGCAUGCCGCGGUGAAUACGUUCCCGGGUCUUGUACACACCGCCCGUCACACCAUGGGAGCGGGAUGUACCAGAAGCAGCUAGCCUAACCGCAAGGGGGGCGGUUGCCACGGUGCGUUUCGUGACUGGGGUGAAGUCGUAACAAGGUAGCCGUAUCGGAAGGUGCGGCUGGAUCACCUCCUUUCUCGGAAACACCCGGGUGUUUCAGUGCUCACGCUUAUCGGUUGUCGCUGGAGGCUGGUAGCGGCAAACUGGCGUUUGGACAAGCGUCUGCGGCGCGUGAGCGCGAGCCGCUUACGCUCGAGUCGCUGGUUUCCGGACCGGUUUCACGAGGGCCUGUAGCUCAGUUGGUUAGAGCACCGUCUUGAUAAGGCGGGGGUCGAUGGUUCGAAUCCAUCCAGACCCACCAACGCAUGCGGGGGCUGUAGCUCAGUUGGGAGAGCACCUGCUUUGCAAGCAGGGGGUCGUCGGUUCGAUCCCGUCCAGCUCCACCAACGUCGGGGCCAGCCACCCAGUCGUGCCGGCGGCACCAGAAUCCAUAGGCAAGUGGCGCUCGCGCCCCUUGCUUCUGGUUUUUCGAACCGCUGUCGUUUAUCGGUUGUUCUUUAACAAUACGGAAGAAGUAAAGCAAAUCCUGCUCGAAUGGCGGGAAGGAAGGCGCAAGCCUUUCGUCCGGCAACGACAGCAGGAUGGGUUAGAUUGUUAUCGACCCGCGGUUCCCUUGAGUUCGGGGGCGGCGGGUAGCGCAAACGCCCGUAGCCUGAGUCGAGGCAGUGCUCAGUGUUAUGGGGUCAAGCGACUAAGUGCAUGUGGUGGAUGCCUUGGCGAUCACAGGCGACGAAGGACGUGGCAGCCUGCGAAAAGCUGCGGGGAGCUGGCAAACGAGCAUUGAUCCGCAGAUGU